Molecule: non-coding RNA, 2001 nt
Organism: Oryctolagus cuniculus (rabbit)
Lineage: Eukaryota; Metazoa; Chordata; Mammalia; Lagomorpha; Leporidae
Source: RefSeq, a predicted model, not a curated record
UUAUGUUCAAAGUUCUUUGCUAGAUACUUGUGUGGCUAUAAGAAGGUGUUCCUAAUUAUAUGCUUGUAUCAACCAAACAUAAAUAAAAUUUUAACAUCUCCAAAAAUUUAAAUGCAUUUGCAAAUUUUCUAACAAUGCAAAAUCAAAUAGAAUGUUAUAUAUGUCACGAUAAUAUGUAUUGCCAAGUAGGCAGUACAAAUAUGUGCUGUGAGCUUGGAGGUAAGUAAUAUGGCGUAGUUCUUUAAUUGAUCUGGAAAGAGCUAAUGACGAAGUAAAGAAAAGACAGAGUAGAGUUGUAUGGCUAACAUUGGUCCUUUUGACCUGGUGGGAUGAGAGCCUGUCUUUGGUCCAUUCUCUCUCAUUACAAUGGAAAGGAGGAAAAAAGAAUACAUUCUCAGACAUUGCAGCUGAGAGAUUGCUUCUAUAAUGUUACUAACACGAUGGCAAUGAAGAUCUUUGCACCACAACUCAAACAAGGUGCAGGGGCUGUUGGAGAGCUAGUAAUCCGUUAGAGACAGGACUACACAGAUAAGGAGAAAAGAAGAGCUUUGGAAAGACCCAGAGGUCUUUAUCUGGGAUGCCUCUCACGGUUUGCUGUCCUGUCUUCCUAAAAUUUGUGCUGCCAGACGAGGCUUUGCUUGUGCAGAAACUGUUCCAGAUGAAAAGAACACUUAAAGUUAUAUCAGUGGCUGGAACUGGGAGGUACUGAUAUGGAGCUCAGAACGGAAUUCGAGUCUCCCAGAUAGGUAGCAGGAGCCCAACUAUUAGAGCCUUUACUGCUGCUCUACGUGAUCUACAUUAGCAGGAAGCUGAAGUGAAGAGCUGAAGCCAAAGUCACAGCCAUAUGUGGGAUGCAGACACUCCAAUAUGAGAUUCUGGACUCAGCCAGCACACCACAGGCCAAACACCCACCCCUACAUACCCACUCUAACAAGCCACUGUGAUUUGACUGUAAGAGUCUGUAGACUUCCUUUUGAGUGACAACUAAUUAUGAUUAAUGAUACGGGAGUCUAGAAAUCUAGUUACAAUCUUCAGUUUACCCAUAGAAAAUGCCAUAUUCUACACCUAUAAUGUAUCAAAUAUAUAGCUAGCAAAUAUAUGCUGAAUGAAUGCUAAAUAAUUUAAUAUCAAUGUAAGCUGUUAUUAGUCAAGCAUCUAUUGCUGAUGGGCAAAAUAUCAAAUCAUUCAUAUCAACAAUUCAGUACAGUGCUGAUAUUUAGGACGCUUUGUGUAUCUGUAUGUUGUGACAUAAAAAUAAAGAAGGAUGUCGGCUCAAUUUCACUUGCUGCUUAUUCUUCCCUAUGUUCAAAGUAUUUGGACAGUUGGUUUAUCUAUAUUUGGUUCCCCACACAUCAUAUAUCAUUGCAGUCAAAAGUGGAAGCUAAUCCUUCCAUAGCUGAGAACUGUUUUAAAGAAACAAACAAAAAUAGUCACUAGUAAUAUGUCAGCAGUAUUUCUCUGAGCUUAGUCUCUUUGACUUCUUGUAUUUAGAAACCCAGUUGAACACGUAACAGAUGAGUUUUCCGGUUUCCUUUUUGAUUUUAGUGGGAUUAUAGUUCUCAGUUGUGACACAUCACAGUUUUGGCCAAGAUGUCUUUAACAGUUAGUAGUGAGCACCUAUAUGACUUUUACUGCUCUCCAGGUCUGCAGCUGGUGCCACAGGCCUCUCUGCUAUCAUGAGGUUAUCCAUGGCAAUGCAAACUCCCUUCUUGUUGAAACAUUGCAAAAGUCUAUCCACAGAAUAAGCUUCCACUAAGAAAUAUUUUAUUCAUUUUGGGGAAUAUAAGCCCAGGAUGGUUUUUAAAAACACAUUAGAAUGUACUAGUAUCCACCAAAAAAAGUUAUCUUUUUGCAAAUUCUUGUGAAUUUGUGCAAGUAUUCUUUCCAGCUAGGAAAUGUCACUGCAGCUGAAUUUUAAAUCAAGUGUUCAUAUUUCUUUGGGGAGUUUCAGAUCAGCAAAAGAAAUGGAAUAUUUACAAUUUGGUGCAUAAUUCAUUUUCU